CCCGCUGAACUUAAGCAUAUCAAUAAGCGGAGGAAAAGAAACUAACAAGGAUUCCCCUAGUAACUGCGAGUGAAGCGGGAAAAGCUCAAAUUUAAAAUCUGGCGGUCUCGCGGCCGUCCGAGUUGUAAUCUGGAGAAGCGUUUAUCCGCGUCGGACCGUGUACAAGUCUUCUGGAAGGGAGCGUCAUAGAGGGUGAGAAUCCCGUCUUUGACACGGACAACCGAUGCUUUUGUGAUGCGCUCUCGAAGAGUCGAGUUGUUUGGGAAUGCAGCUCAAAAUGGGUGGUAAAUUCCAUCUAAAGCUAAAUAUAGGCCAGAGACCGAUAGCGCACAAGUAGAGUGAUCGAAAGGUGAAAAGCACUUUGAAAAGAGAGUGAAAUAGUACGUGAAAUCGUUGCAGGGGAAGCGCUGGUUACCAGUCGCGCACCGGGGGGAUCAGCCGCCGCUUCGGCGUCGGUGUACUCCCUCCGGCUGCGGGUCAGCACCGGCUCUCGCGGCGGGAAAAUUGCCCGGGGAACGUGGCCCGCCCUUCGGGGUGGGUGUUAUAGCCCCGGGCGCAGUACCGCCCGCUGGGGGCCGAGGAUUCGCGCCAUUGGCUCGGAUGCUGGCAUAAUGGUCAUCAGCGUCCCGUCUUGAAACACGG
This 642-nucleotide ribosomal RNA is filed under the name uncultured fungus. RNAcentral's name for it is "eukaryotic LSU rRNA". It matches the Rfam family "Eukaryotic large subunit ribosomal RNA", at positions 24 to 664 of the family's 3401-position model. Lineage: Eukaryota; Fungi. The record is from RNAcentral.